AUUGAACGCUGGCGGCAUGCCUUACACAUGCAAGUCGAACGGCAGCACGGGAGCAAUCCUGGUGGCGAGUGGCGAACGGGUGAGUAAUAUAUCGGAACGUGCCCAGUCGUGGGGGAUAACGUAGCGAAAGCUACGCUAAUACCGCAUACGAUCUAUGGAUGAAAGCGGGGGAUCGCAAGACCUCGCGCGAUUGGAGCGGCCGAUAUCAGAUUAGGUAGUUGGUGAGGUAAAGGCUCACCAAGCCGACGAUCUGUAGCUGGUCUGAGAGGACGACCAGCCACACUGGGACUGAGACACGGUCCAGACUCCUACGGGAGGCAGCAGUGGGAAAUAUUGGACAAUGGGCGAAAGCCUGAUCCAGCCAUGCCGCGUGUGUGAAGAAGGUCUUCGGAUUGUAAAGCACUUUAAGUUGGGAGGAAGGGUAGUAACCUAAUACGUUGCUACUUUGACGUUACCGACAGAAUAAGCACCGGCUAACUUCGUGCC
RNAcentral lists this ribosomal RNA (486 nucleotides) under uncultured bacterium. Its description in RNAcentral is "bacterial SSU rRNA". It matches the Rfam family "Bacterial small subunit ribosomal RNA", at positions 30 to 509 of the family's 1533-position model. The record is from RNAcentral.